UCUUAUCCCAUCCAAACCAACGGAAACCUCUUUGAUUUAUCUGAAACAACUGUCCUUUUUCGUCCAUCCACAAAAUAUACCUGCCAUUUUUCUCUGCUCUUUUUCAUUAUUCACCAAACAAAGAGGUUCUUCCAUAAAAGAAAAAAAAAAGAGGCUUUUUUUUUGUGGCGGAGAGAGACGGAUUGGGCAAAAUGGACGGUAACACUACGGAGGCUGAGCGGUGGUUGAGCAUAGCGGAGAAGCUAUUGGCGACGCGUGAUUUGCACGGGACCCGAACCUUCGCGAUCCGAGCCCGUGAAUCGGCUCCUAUCCUGGCCGACCAAAUACUUGCGGUGACGGACACCCUCUUAACGGCACAAUCUAAUACUCAAGAUUGGUACAGGAUCCUCCAACUCGUGCCGUUAACUCAGUCCAUGGAGGUCGUGGCGAGUCAGUAUAGGAAACUCGCUCUUCUUUUGAAUCCUGGGAGGAACAGGCUCUCUUUCGCAGAUCAGGCGUUUCGAUUCGUUUCUGAAGCUUGGAAUGUGUUGUCUAACCCUUCUAAGAAGGCCAUUUAUGAUAACGAGUUGAGGUUCCUUCAGUAUGGUCAGGUGAGUCAACCCGGUGAACAACAAAAUCAUCAACAACCACAGCUUCAGCAACAGCAACAACAACAAGAGAAGCAGCCGCAAACGCAGACGCUGUUCAUGCAAUCGCAUCCGCUUCCUGCGCCGAAGGAAACUCAAACGCUGUUUAUGCAAACUCCGCAGAAAGAGACGCCGACGCAAGUUACUCAGCCGCUAUUCACGAGAAGAAGCCCUAGAAAUACUGAUAGAGAAGGGAAUGCUGAUUUAGGAGGCGGCGGGCAGUCGGGUCUCAAUAACAAGCCGCCGGAGCAAAAUCGGUCGACUGAGCCGAUAUGGAAGAGGCAGAUGAAUCAGAUUGGUUUAGGUGAGAGCAGUCAGGUUAGACAGUCAGGGUCAGUCGAUUCCAGCCAGAUUAAUCAAACAGGAACAGAUAGCUCGAGUCAGUUUAAUCGGGCCGAGCCAGCUCGUACGAGUCAAAUUAACCAGACCACAACUCCUCCUCCUCCUCCUCCUCCUCCUAGGGCGGAUAGUCAGACACAGUCAACUAAUGUGUCUCAGCCUAGAGAAGCCACUGAGUCAGAGGUGCUGACAUUCUGGACAGCUUGUCCGUACUGUUACGUUCUCUAUGAGUAUCCAAAGUUGUAUGAAGAUUGUACAUUGAGGUGCCAGACUAAGAACUGCAGGAGGGCUUUUCAUGCGGUUGUGAUACCGUCGCCGCCAGUAAAUGGAAAGGACACGCAUUUCAACUGCUGGGGGUUUUUCCCAUUAGGAUUUUCUAGGAGCGGUAAUUUUCCCAGUUGGUCACCUAUUUCGACCAUGUUUGCUUGCCCUAAUAACCAGAAUGCUGCAAAACAAAAUACUGCCAAAAAGUCUGCUCCAAGAGUAUAUUACGAUGAUGAUGAUGUACAUGAAGAUAUUUCUGACUCAAUUGGGACUUAUGAUGACGAUGAUGAUGAUUGGCAAAAUGAGAAGAGGAAGAAGGCAAAGAAUGCUAAAAGGAAAGUGUCUGUGGGGAGGAAUGCUAAGAAACCACAGAGCGAGGGAAUUAAGCAGCAGACUAAUGAGAAAGCUAGUGUUGAUCACAGUGGGAAUCUGAUUGGUGUGUCCACGGUGCCUGAUGGUGUGCCAACUGCUGAAUCGAGCCGAAGGGGGGUUGUUAAUAGCGGGAGGAAGCAGAUGGGAAGGGUGGCAAAUAAUUUGGGGAAGUUGGAUUUGAAUGUGGAGUUUAGCAAUGAAGUUGAAGAGCCUGCGCCGAGGAGGAACGAGGGAAAUCACGACGGCUAUGUGGAGGAGGAUAACAUUGAAGGGAAUGGGUUCUUUGAGGGUCUUGAUGAGUAUUUGAAUAGCUUACCUAUACUUUCGGCUGUUGGGGAUGAUAAAGUUAAGGCUACUUAGUGAAGUAAGAUCCUUUUUUUUUCUGCAGUAGUUGUAAUGGAAUGCUUGUAGUAUUUAACCAUGUGGAGAUGCUUAUGGCCUCCCUUUAUAGCCUCUUCAGUGUUGGAUUUGACUGUAUAUUCUGCAGCAUCACGUUUUGUCAAUAUUUUGAUCGUUUUAUGUUGCCUAUUUACUCUGAAAGUUCUAUUUGUCAAAAUUUCCUGUUUGGGAGGAUAAUUUGAAAGUUAAGUACAAAAUCAUGAUAAUCUAUGAGUUGAAGAUGGAAUGUUCUGUCCACCAUGAUUCUGGCGGUGACGGGAAUUGGUGGUAAGUUUUCUGACUGUUCUCUUUCUCUUUUGAGUUGAAAGAGUUAUUAACCAUGAUAAUUGCUUUCUCCCCUUCUCUUUUCCCUCUUAAUAAAAGGAAAAGAGAAAAGGCUGAAGCUUAGACUAAGGAAGUUGGAAAUAUGCUUUGAAAAUGAUGAAUUGGACUAUUCAAGUUUGAUCUUGCUUAUGAAAAGAUUUUAAUUACUUGGAUUAUGAUUCAAUUGUUAUGAGCUUCUAUGAAUUUCGUUACAGAAGCUUUUGGGUUUGCAAAUCUGCUUCCUCUGUUCUAAGAAUGAGUUUCGAAAGGUUAUGGAGCCUCUAUGGUUUUGAUUACCAAUACCCUUCUCUAUAUUUAUUCCAUAAAUAAGGCCUAAACACUUGAUUUAUUGACCCACCUUAACAUACACCCUUUAACUUCAAAUGGAGGAAUCCCAAUUGAAGUUGUCAGACGCUGGUUUGAAGUACACGAUUUCAUCUUCUAGUUGCAUAUGCUGUGCAAACUUACUGUUAUGCUAAUCCCCUAGCCAUUAGCUUCUUAUACCAAUUGUGAGAGACAUUCCUUCUUAUUGGGCUCAAAAUCCCAGUACCAACAUCGUGCUAAUUCUCCAGAAGUCUAAUCUUCAGAAGAUCUUUUGUAUUUUGCUCGAUAAACUCCUUGCCCUUGUGCAGACUUAAAAUCUGAUUUUCCCUUUCUUUUGUUGUUUUUCGAUAGCCAGUAACUUCUUUAGUAUAGAAUAUUUUAAUUACAUAUCAGUAUUCCUGUCAUCAUUCACCAAGCAAGUGCAGUUUUUAUUUUUAUUUUUUAUAAUUGAGUUGCUGUGCUCUUGUUUAAUUGUCUUCUAACUCGCCUCGUUCUUUUUCCUUAAUUGCAGUAGCUAACUUGUUGAUCAGAUGUUAAAGCGUCCAGCAAGUCAUUCAUUCUAAUAAUCAGUUUUAGUUUGUUGCAACAUGCUUCUAUUUGUGGUACACUCGAAUUUAGUGAGCGAGACAUGUUGUAACGAGAAGUGCUUUGCCGGUUGGAUAACUUUUUAUUGGAAUCUUUUUCUGUACUUUGUAUGGGGUUUUGGAUUUCGUAAUCUACUCUUAAGGGCAUUGUAUGAUGCUGGCCUGGGAAGACGUCACAUGUAAUCUGAUUUGUGAACUACGCUUUACCUGUCAAAAACUGGAAGCUGCCUCGGGUUCUUUGUAGUGGUCAAAUGUUGCUCAGCUAAUAUGUCCAAAGGCGGUAGAUGAUCACAGAGCAGAGCAAUUGGGAUAUGAUUGGAGGGCUUUCUUUCCUGUCUACCAUACUAAACAAUUGAAGAGUGUAACGACUUAUUGCUGUCUUCUUCAAAGGGCGAAGAAGGUACGUUAUCCGUAAACGUGACAAUGUCU
Hibiscus syriacus is the source of this 3640-nucleotide RNA transcript. RefSeq lists it as uncharacterized. The transcript is spliced from 2 exons. Lineage: Eukaryota; Viridiplantae; Streptophyta; Magnoliopsida; Malvales; Malvaceae. The record is from RefSeq and is a predicted model, not a curated record.